This 34-nucleotide non-coding RNA is filed under the name Alexandrium minutum. The record is from RNAcentral. Lineage: Eukaryota; Dinophyceae; Gonyaulacales; Pyrocystaceae.
UUUUUUUUUUUUUUUUUUUUUUUUUUUUUUUUCU